This 900-nucleotide ribosomal RNA is filed under the name uncultured archaeon. RNAcentral's name for it is "SSU rRNA". It matches the Rfam family "Archaeal small subunit ribosomal RNA", at positions 455 to 1354 of the family's 1478-position model. The record is from RNAcentral.
GUGCCAGCCGCCGCGGUAAUACCAGCUCCGCUAGUGGUCGGGGUGCUUACUGGGCCUAAAGCGCCCGUAGCCGGCCCGGUAAGUCGUCCCUGAAAUCCACGGGCUCAAUCCCGUGGGCUGGGGACGAUACUGCCGGGCUUGGGGGCGGGAGAGGCCGAGGGUACUCCCGGGGUAGGGGCGAAAUCCGAUAAUCCCGGGAGGACCACCAGUGGCGAAGGCGCUCGGCUGGAACGCGCCCGACGGUGAGGGGCGAAAGCUGGGGGAGCAAAGGGGAUUAGAUACCCCUGUAGUCCCAGCUGUAAACGAUGCGGGCUAGCUGUUGGGCGGGCUUAGAGCCCGCCCAGUGGCGGAGGGAAGCCGUUAAGCCCGCCGCCUGGGGAGUACGGCCGCAAGGCUGAAACUUAAAGGAAUUGGCGGGGGGGCACCACAAGGGGUGAAGCUUGCGGCUUAAUUGGAGUCAACGCCGGAAACCUUACCCGGGGCGACAGCAGGAUGAUGGCCAGGCUAACGACCUUGCCGGACGAGCUGAGAGGAGGUGCAUGGCCGUCGUCAGCUCGUGCCGUGAGGUGUCCGGUUAAGUCCGGCAACGAGCGAGACCCCCACCCCUAGUUGCUACCCGAUCCUUCGGGAUCGGGGGCACACUAGGGGGACUGCCGCCGCUAAGGCGGAGGAAGGAGGGGGCCACGGCAGGUCAGCAUGCCCCUAAACCCCCGGGCUGCACGCGGGCUACAAUGGCGGGGACAGCGGGAUCCGACCCCGAAAGGGGGAGGCAAUCCCUGAAACCCCGCCGUAGUUGGGAUCGAGGGCUGAAACUCGCCCCCGUGAACCUGGAAUCCCUAGUAACCGCGCGUCACCAUCGCGCGGUGAAUACGUCCCUGCCCUCUGUACACACCGCCCGUC